RNAcentral lists this transfer RNA (64 nucleotides) under Gonopsis coccinea. Its description in RNAcentral is "tRNA-Phe". Lineage: Eukaryota; Metazoa; Arthropoda; Insecta; Hemiptera; Pentatomidae. The record is from RNAcentral.
ACUUGAAUAUCUUAAUAUAAAGUUUAACUCUGAAGAAGUUAAUAUAGGUAUAUCCUUUCAAGUA